This 633-nucleotide ribosomal RNA is filed under the name Sporosarcina sp. Its description in RNAcentral is "bacterial SSU rRNA". It matches the Rfam family "Bacterial small subunit ribosomal RNA", at positions 79 to 697 of the family's 1533-position model. The record is from RNAcentral. Lineage: Bacteria; Bacillati; Bacillota; Bacilli; Caryophanales; Caryophanaceae.
CUUGCUCCCUGAUAUUAGCGGCGGACGGGUGAGUAACACGUGGGCAACCUGCCCUGCAGAUGGGGAUAACUCCGGGAAACCGGGGCUAAUACCGAAUAAUCGGUUCUUCCGCAUGGAAGAACUCUGAAAGACGGUUUCGGCUGUCACUGCAGGAUGGGCCCGCGGCGCAUUAGCUAGUUGGUGGGGUAACGGCCUACCAAGGCGACGAUGCGUAGCCGACCUGAGAGGGUGAUCGGCCACACUGGGACUGAGACACGGCCCAGACUCCUACGGGAGGCAGCAGUAGGGAAUCUUCCACAAUGGACGAAAGUCUGAUGGAGCAACGCCGCGUGAGCGAAGAAGGUUUUCGGAUCGUAAAGCUCUGUUGCGAGGGAAGAACAAGUACGAGAGUAACUGCUCGUACCUUGACGGUACCUCGUUAGAAAGCCACGGCUAACUACGUGCCAGCAGCCGCGGUAAUACGUAGGUGGCAAGCGUUGUCCGGAAUUAUUGGGCGUAAAGCGCGCGCAGGCGGUCCUUUAAGUCUGAUGUGAAAGCCCACGGCUCAACCGUGGAGGGUCAUUGGAAACUGGAGGACUUGAGUACAGAAGAGGAAAGCGGAAUUCCACGUGUAGCGGUGAAAUGCGUAGAGAU